RNAcentral lists this ribosomal RNA (404 nucleotides) under uncultured bacterium. RNAcentral's name for it is "bacterial SSU rRNA". It matches the Rfam family "Bacterial small subunit ribosomal RNA", at positions 355 to 775 of the family's 1533-position model. The record is from RNAcentral.
CGAGGAAUCUUGGUCAAUGGGGGCAACCCUGAACCAGCGACGCCGCGUGGAGGACGAAGGCCCUUGGGUCGUAAACUCCUUUUGCCGGGGACGAUAAUGACGGUACCCGGCGAAUAAGCCACGGCUAACUACGUGCCAGCAGCCGCGGUAAUACGUAGGUGGCGAGCGUUGUCCGGAUUUACUGGGCGUAAAGCGCGCGUAGGUGGUCUGGCAAGUCCUGUCGUGAAAGGUCGCGGCCCAACUGCGACAGUGCGCAGGAUACUGCUAGACUUGAGGGCAGCAGAGGUCGGUGGAAUUCCCGGUGGAGUGGUGAAAUGCGUAGAUAUCGGGAGGAACACCAGAGGCGAAGGCGGCCGACUGGGCUGUACCUGACACUGAGGCGCGAAAGCGUGGGGAGCGAACCG